This 422-nucleotide ribosomal RNA is filed under the name Fusobacteriota bacterium. Its description in RNAcentral is "Fusobacteria bacterium partial 16S ribosomal RNA". It matches the Rfam family "Bacterial small subunit ribosomal RNA", at positions 355 to 776 of the family's 1533-position model. Lineage: Bacteria; Fusobacteriati; Fusobacteriota. The record is from RNAcentral.
AGGGGGAUUUUGCACAAUGGGCGCAAGCCUGAUGCAGCGACGCCGCGUGAUGGAUGAAUGCCUUCGGGUUGUAAACCUCUUUCGCUGGGUUGAAAGGCCAUGCUUUGGGUGUGGUUGAUUUGAACUGGUAAAGAAGUACCGGCUAACUACGUGCCAGCAGCCGCGGUAAUACGUAGGGUACUAGCGUUGUCCGGAUUUAUUGGGCGUAAAGGGCUUGUAGGUGGUUUGUCGCGUCUGUCGUGAAAUCCUGUGGCUUAACCAUGGGCUUGCGGUGGGUACGGGCAGGCUUGAGUGCGGUAGGGGAGACUGGAAUUCCUGGUGUAGCGGUGGAGUCCGCAGAUAUCAGGAGGACCACCUGUGACGGAGGCGAGUCUCUGGGCCAUUACUGACACUGAGGAGCGAAAGCGUGGGGAGCGAACAGG